AGAGUUUUGAUCCUGGCUCAGGAUGAACGCUGGCGGCGUGCCUAACACAUGCAAGUCGAACGGGCUCGGAUUGAAACCUAGUGAUUUCCGAGUUAGUGGCGGACGGGUGAGUAACGCGUGGAUAACCUGCCGUAUGCAGGGGGAUAACAGUUGGAAACAGCUGCUAAUACCGCAUAAGCGCACAGUACCGCAUGGUACGGUGUGAAAAGAUUUAUCGGCAUACGAUGGAUCCGCGUCUGAUUAGCCAGUUGGCGGGGUAACGGCCCACCAAAGCGACGAUCGGUAGCCGGCCUGAGAGGGCGGACGGCCACAUUGGGACUGAGACACGGCCCAAACUCCUACGGGAGGCAGCAGUGGGGAAUAUUGCACAAUGGGGGAAACCCUGAUGCAGCGACGCCGCGUGAGUGAAGAAGUAUUUCGGUAUGUAAAGCGCUAUCAGCAGGGAAGAAAAUGACGGUACCUGACUAAGAAGCCCCGGCUAACUACGUG
This 489-nucleotide ribosomal RNA is filed under the name uncultured Lachnospiraceae bacterium. RNAcentral describes it as "bacterial SSU rRNA". It matches the Rfam family "Bacterial small subunit ribosomal RNA", at positions 8 to 507 of the family's 1533-position model. Lineage: Bacteria; Bacillati; Bacillota; Clostridia; Lachnospirales; Lachnospiraceae. The record is from RNAcentral.